Mustela lutreola (European mink) is the source of this 1797-nucleotide long non-coding RNA. RefSeq lists it as uncharacterized. Lineage: Eukaryota; Metazoa; Chordata; Mammalia; Carnivora; Mustelidae. The transcript has 3 exons. The record is from RefSeq and is a predicted model, not a curated record.
GCUCAGAUCCUUUAACUCGUUCUGGCUCAUCUGAAUCUUUCAGAAUUCAACCCGUGCUACAUACAGAUUCUGGUACACAGCAAAUCUCAAAUGUUUUUCAGGGUAUUAAAUAGGAUAAUGUAUGUAAUAUACAUACCUGGAUGCCUGAAACAUAAGUGAAAUACAAUACAAGAAAUACAAGGAAAAGUUUACCAGGAUCUAGAGAGCUGAAAGGAGAAUCACUCUCAACCUUACUAUGAAGAAAAACCAGGCAGAUCAAUUCAUGACACUUCUUGACACUGUAGAACACUGAAGCUGCAGGACAACUAACUGACCCAAAAAUGUAAGAAAAGACAUGUGUCAGCAGUGACAGAACUAUGCUAGCACUGGUUGACCUAGGGAAGAUAUAACCAGACACCAAGGAGAGAUUGUGAAGUUCCUGUAGAGCUACAGAAACUGAAAUUGUGCAUUUCCUUCAGGGUUUUUUUUCUCCAUGAGCUCCACUGGGUGUUCACAGGAAAGAUUGGAGGUAGUCCCAUGAACGUGUUCAUUGAGGUACUGACAUGGGGGAAGGGAAGAGCAGCAGUGAAGGAGGAUCGUAACACUCAACCGAGACCCUGCUCUCUCAAACAGAGCAAAAGCCCAACUCUGUGGGAGAAAGGACAACAUAUGUCAUUGCGUUUAAGGCAUUGGUGAAAAUCUACUGCAGCUGAGGGAAGAGACAGAAAGAAAAACUUCUGCACUGAAAGGAAAGCAGGCAUACUAUGGGGUCCAGGCUGUAACUGGAGAAGGAAGACGUGGUCACAUCUCAGAGACCCUGGGAUAUAGUGCCUUUCGAAAGACCGAGGCUUAAUCAGAAAAAGAGAAUACUCUUCUCCCACCACUACCAGGUUAACAAGUGUUCAGUAACAAGUAAUAAGGAAGUACUGCUGGAGAAGAAUAGAGGAAAAACCCGAGAGUGGAGUUCUCUGAGACAUGGUGCAAAAAGAAGACCACAAACUGAUGGUAGAGCAGAUAUUGAGAUAAACCCUUUUACAUCCUAGCCCAUACCCUAAAUACCGAUAUAUCAGUAGAGGAAUUUGAAGCCCUGAAGCCUGUGGUCUGAUGAGAGUGAACAUAGCAACAUCAGACUCAGCAGUUCUGAUUGCAGCACUCCAGAGUUAAUGACAUACAUCAAACGCCAAAGCCAAGAAGCUCAGAAACCCACGCAGGAUAAGUACCAAACACACACACCCCUAGUCAUUCAUAUAUUCAAUCCGCUGAACAUGAAGAAAAAGAGAAAAUCUUGAAAACAGCCAAAGGAAAAACACAUAUGCAGAUGAAAAAAAUAAGAACUGUAACAGACAACUUGUCAGAACCAUGACUUCAAACAGUAGUAAAGACUUAACCAGACAAACAAAAACUGGGAAAAUUCAUUGCCAGCAGACUGACACUACAAAAAAAGCUAAGGAAGCGGUUCUGCAGGCAGAAGAAAUUAGGAUAUGAGACGGAAACCUGGAUUAUUACAAAGAAGAGAAGAGCCUUGAAAAUAGAAAAAAAAAAGAUAAAAUGAGAUUGAUUUCACUUAUUUGUGGAGCAUAACAAAUAUCAUGGAGGACAAGGGGUGUUAGAGAGGAGAAGGGAGUUGGGGUAAAUUGGAAAGGGAGGUGAAUCAUGAGAGACUGUGGACUCUGAGGGGUUUGAAGUGGCGAGGGGGUGGGAGGCUGGGGUACCAGGUGGUGGGUAUUAUAGAGGGCACGGAUUGCAUGGAGCACUGGGUGUGGUGAAAAAAUAAUGAAUACUGUUUUUCUGAAAAUAAAUCAAUUUUAAAAAAUGAGA